Molecule: ribosomal RNA, 1035 nt
Filed under: Salimicrobium sp. E3
Lineage: Bacteria; Bacillati; Bacillota; Bacilli; Caryophanales; Bacillaceae
Description: bacterial SSU rRNA
Rfam family: Bacterial small subunit ribosomal RNA
Source: RNAcentral
CGGUGGCGGCCUGCUAUACAUGCAAGUCGAGCGCGGGAAGCGAGUGGAAGUCCUUCGGGACGGAUACUCGUGGAACGAGCGGCGGACGGGUGAGUAACACGUGGGCAACCUACCUGUAAGACCGGAAUAACCCCGGGAAACCGGGGCUAAUGCCGGGUAACCAUUCGGUUCUCCUGAACCGAAUGUAAAAGGAUGGCUUCUUGCUAUCGCUUACAGAUGGGCCCGCGGCGCAUUAGCUAGUUGGUAAGGUAACGGCUUACCAAGGCGACGAUGCGUAGCCGACCUGAGAGGGUGAUCGGCCACACUGGGACUGAGACACGGCCCAGACUCCUACGGGAGGCAGCAGUAGGGAAUCUUCCGCAAUGGACGAAAGUCUGACGGAGCAACGCCGCGUGAACGAUGAAGGUCUUCGGAUCGUAAAGUUCUGUUGUGAGGGAAGAACAAGGAUCGUGCGAACAGAACGGUCCCUUGACGGUACCUCACGAGGAAGCCCCGGCUAACUACGUGCCAGCAGCCGCGGUAAUACGUAGGGGGCAAGCGUUGUCCGGAAUUAUUGGGCGUAAAGCGCACGCAGGCGGUUCCUUAAGUCUGAUGUGAAAGCCCGUGGCUCAACCACGGAGGGCCAUUGGAAACUGGGGAACUUGAGAACUGAAGAGGAGAGUGGAAUUCCACGUGUAGCGGUGAAAUGCGUAGAUAUGUGGAGGAACACCAGUGGCGAAGGCGACUCUCUGGUCGGUUUCUGACGCUGAGGUGCGAAAGCGUGGGUAGCAAACAGGAUUAGAUACCCUGGUAGUCCACGCCGUAAACGAUGAGUGCUAGGUGUUAGGGGGCUUCCACCCCUUAGUGCUGAAGUUAACGCAUUAAGCACUCCGCCUGGGGAGUACGGCCGCAAGGCUGAAACUCAAAGGAAUUGACGGGGCCCGCACAAGCGGUGGAGCAUGUGGUUUAGUCGAAGCACGCGAGAACUUUACCAGUCUUGACAUCCUUGGCUACUUCUAGAGAUAGAAGUCCCUUUCGGGGACCAGUGACCAGCUG